This 439-nucleotide ribosomal RNA is filed under the name uncultured bacterium. RNAcentral describes it as "bacterial SSU rRNA". It matches the Rfam family "Bacterial small subunit ribosomal RNA", at positions 28 to 455 of the family's 1533-position model. The record is from RNAcentral.
AAUCAACGCUGGCGGCGUGCCUAACACAUGCAAGUCGAACGCGACUGGGGACUUCGGUUCCCAGUUGAGUGGCGAACGGGUGAGUAACACGUGGGUGAUCUAUCUUCGAGUGGGGGAUAACGUUCCGAAAGGAACGCUAAUACCGCAUGACGUUCCGGGUUUGAAGACCUGGAAACCAAAGCCGGGGACCGCAAGGCCUGGCGCUCAAAGAGGAGCCCGCGUCCGAUUAGCUAGUUGGCGGGGUAACGGCCCACCAAGGCGACGAUCGUAGCCGGCCUGAGAGGGCGGACGGCCACACUGGGACUGAGACACGGCCCAGACUCCUACGGGAGGCAGCAGUGGGGAAUUGUUCGCAAUGGGCGCAAGCCUGACGACGCAACGCCGCGUGGGGAUGAAGGUCUUCGGAUUGUAAACCCCUGUCGAGCGGGACGAAUGGCUC